CCCUUAGAUGUUCUGGGCAGCACGCGCGCUACAAUGGUCUUCGCAAACGGAUGCAUUCUCGAAGGAGAAUGCCAAUCUUGGAAUCUAUGCCUUGGUCGGGACAGUUGCUUGCAAUUUUUCGACUCGAACCAGGAAUUCCUUGUAAUCGUGAUUCAUCACAUCACGAUGAAUACGUCCCUGCCCUUUGUACACACCGCCCGUCGCUCCUACCGAUCGAAGAGUUAGGUGAAUUGUUUUGAUCGAUAAGAUUUGACUAUGGUCAACUCUCGUUGUGAAAUUCUGUGAAUCUGACUGUUUAGAGGAAGGAAAGGUCGUAACA
This 319-nucleotide ribosomal RNA is filed under the name uncultured eukaryote. Its description in RNAcentral is "partial 18S ribosomal RNA". It matches the Rfam family "Eukaryotic small subunit ribosomal RNA", at positions 1470 to 1796 of the family's 1831-position model. The record is from RNAcentral.